AUAACUAUAGUUUAAACAAAACAUUAGAUUGUGGAUAUAAUAAUAGAAGUUCAAAUCUCCUUAUUUAUG
This 69-nucleotide transfer RNA is filed under the name Tupaia belangeri chinensis (Chinese tree shrew). RNAcentral's name for it is "Tupaia chinensis (Chinese tree shrew) tRNA". It matches the Rfam family "tRNA". Rfam says of the family: Transfer RNA (tRNA) molecules are approximately 80 nucleotides in length. Their secondary structure includes four short double-helical elements and three loops (D, anti-codon, and T loops). The record is from Rfam by way of RNAcentral. Lineage: Eukaryota; Metazoa; Chordata; Mammalia; Scandentia; Tupaiidae.